CUGUAAAUGAACUAAGCCAGAGUACAUCAAUGUCUUUAAGAAAACAUGACAAUAAGAAUGUAGCAAAGUUAAUGAAAAAGAAAUUACACAAAGUAUUCCAACAAAAUGACGAAAAAUUCGUAAUACAUGGAUUAAUAACAAGCGAGAAAUUAAACCUACACCACUAAGAAGGUACAGACGAAGCAUUUUUAACGUUUUAUUCAAUUUUUGAUGUAUAAUAUCAAAUAUUUACUGCGAUAGUUAACCUGAUAUUGUAAUUUAGGUUAGGCG
This is a non-coding RNA of Cinara cedri, 270 nucleotides long. The record is from the annotation of a GenBank genome assembly. NCBI's taxonomy places the organism in Eukaryota, Metazoa, Arthropoda, Insecta, Hemiptera, Aphididae.